Molecule: non-coding RNA, 24 nt
Filed under: Arabidopsis thaliana (thale cress)
Lineage: Eukaryota; Viridiplantae; Streptophyta; Magnoliopsida; Brassicales; Brassicaceae
Source: RNAcentral
AGGGAACAUGGCCUGUUGUGUGGA